UACAGAGACUGCAAGCGUUACUCGGAUUCACUGGGCGUAAAGGGAGCGCAGGCGGACUCAUGUGUCGGACGUGAAAUACCGGGGCUUAACCCCGGUGCUGCGUCCGAAACUAUGAGUCUAGAGACUUGGAGGGGUAAGCGGAAUUCUUGGUGGAGCAGUGAAAUGCGUAGAUAUCAAGAGGAACACCAACGGCGAAGGCAGCUUACUGGACAAGAUCUGACGCUCAGGCUCGAAAGCGUGGGGAGCAAAAGGGAUUAGAUACCCCUGUAGUCCACGCUGUAAACGGUGCGCAUUAGGUCUUGGAGCUUUCGAACGCUCCAGGGCUCAAGCUAACGCAUUAAAUGCGCCGCCUGAGGACUACGGCCGCAAGGCUAAA
RNAcentral lists this ribosomal RNA (376 nucleotides) under uncultured bacterium. Its description in RNAcentral is "bacterial SSU rRNA". It matches the Rfam family "Bacterial small subunit ribosomal RNA", at positions 524 to 898 of the family's 1533-position model. The record is from RNAcentral.